RNAcentral lists this ribosomal RNA (573 nucleotides) under Schuchertinia milleri. Its description in RNAcentral is "partial 16S ribosomal RNA". It matches the Rfam family "Bacterial large subunit ribosomal RNA", at positions 1858 to 2606 of the family's 2925-position model. Lineage: Eukaryota; Metazoa; Cnidaria; Hydrozoa; Anthoathecata; Hydractiniidae. The record is from RNAcentral.
CCUGCCCAAUGAUCUUUAAAUUAAUAAAAAUAAUCUUUUAUAAAAAGAUUUAAAGGACGCAGUAACCUGACUGUGGUAAUGUAGCAUAAUCACUCGCCAUUUAAUUGAUGGAUAGUAUGAAUGGUUAAACGAAUUUUUCACUGUCUUAAAAAGAGGUAUCAUGAAAUUAAAAUAAUAGUUAAGAUGCUAUUUAAAAUUGUAAGACGAAAAGACCCUAUAGAGCUUAACUACAAAYUUUCUAGACAAAAAAGAAACAUUCYCAAAAUUAGAAAGUUAGGUAGUUUAGUUGGGGCGACUAUCUUCUAAAAAUAACGAAGAUAAGCAAUGUUAAUAAAACUUAUUGUACAAUUAAUAAAUUUAACAAUUACAAAAGUAGGCUAUAAUGACCCGUUAUUCAAAAGUAAAAUUUAUAACGAUCAAUAAAUAAAAGCUACCUUAGGGAUAACAGGAUAAUUUUGUUCUAGAGAUCCUAUCGAAAACAAAGUUUGUCACCUCUAUGUUGAAUUAAGAUAUCCAGAUAAUGCAGAAGUUAUCAAGGGUAGGUCUGUUCGACCUUUAAAUCUUACAUGAUUU